Molecule: long non-coding RNA, 199 nt
Filed under: Elaeis guineensis (African oil palm)
Lineage: Eukaryota; Viridiplantae; Streptophyta; Magnoliopsida; Arecales; Arecaceae
Description: long non-coding RNA (EGUI_LNC020947)
Source: RNAcentral
UUGCCCUGGCCAAGGUCUUACUAAAUUGAAACACAAAGCAUUCUCUCCAAUCUCUUGGAGUGGUCAAUUCCAUCUUGACUCAUGCACCGACUUCACAAGUACUUGACUGUGUGCAGAAAUCUUUCGAUCUUGAAUUAGAAAUUCAUGUAGUCCGGUACCAAAGCACAGUGAGUUGCUUGUAAGUCAUCAUGGUGAUCUC